Molecule: long non-coding RNA, 207 nt
Filed under: Mytilus galloprovincialis (Mediterranean mussel)
Lineage: Eukaryota; Metazoa; Mollusca; Bivalvia; Mytilida; Mytilidae
Source: RNAcentral
GGCUUUACAAAUAUAGUUUGGUUAAAGCGUUCCUGAUGAAGAUAAAUCAAGAAAGCGCUUCGGAGUGUUUCCCUUUCCUAUAUAAAUUAUGCCAAAUAUUCUCAAUUCUUCUUAUAAUUUAAACACCUCGUUAUUCUAAGUUCUUUCUAUCUAAGCACCUCGUUGUUCUCAAUUCUUCCUAUAUCUCUAAGCCCCUCGUUAUUCUCA